AAUCAACGCUGGCGGCGUGCCUAACACAUGCAAGUCGAACGCGAAAGCCCCGCAAGGGGUUAGUAGAGUGGCAAACGGGUGAGUAACACGUGGGUGACCUGCCUUCGAGUGGGGGAUAACGUCCCGAAAGGGACGCUAAUACCGCAUAACAUCCUGCCUUUUAAGAGGUGGACAUCAAAGCUGGGGAUCGCAAGACCUAGCGCUUGAGGAGGGGCCCGCGCCUGAUUAGCUAGUUGGNGGGUAUGGCUCACCAAGCAACGAUCAGUAUCCGGCCUGAGAGGGCGGACGGACACACUGGGACUGAGA
Molecule: ribosomal RNA, 306 nt
Filed under: uncultured bacterium
Lineage: Bacteria
Description: bacterial SSU rRNA
Rfam family: Bacterial small subunit ribosomal RNA
Source: RNAcentral